UAACAAUGCUCUAAUUAGACCAAAAUAAUGGUAAGUAAUCUUUAAUCAAAUUCAAAGAAAUCUCAAAGAAAUUUCAAAGAAAUAAUAAGAAAUCUUAAAGAAAUAUUAGAAUGAUCAGAAAUAUCUCUCAAAUAUAUCUCAAUUCAAUCUUAAUUUAAUUCUAGUUAAAAUCCUAUUAGACUUCAUUCAAACUUUAGGCCAAAUCUAAUUAAAUCUUAAAUCCUAAAUAAAUCCUAAUAAAAUCCUAAAUCCUAAAUUAAACCCUAAAUCCUAAAUCAAAUCCUAAUCAAACCUUGACCAAAUUCUAAACAAAUCCUAAACCAAACCCCACCAAAUUCUAAACCCUAAAUCAAAUCCUAAAUUUUAAACCAAAUUUCAACCAAAUCUUAAACCCUAAACUCUAAAUCCUAAAUCAAAUCCUAACCAAAC
RNAcentral lists this long non-coding RNA (429 nucleotides) under Physcomitrium patens. Its description in RNAcentral is "long non-coding RNA (PPAT_LNC001231)". Lineage: Eukaryota; Viridiplantae; Streptophyta; Bryopsida; Funariales; Funariaceae. The record is from RNAcentral.